This 510-nucleotide ribosomal RNA is filed under the name uncultured bacterium. RNAcentral describes it as "bacterial SSU rRNA". It matches the Rfam family "Bacterial small subunit ribosomal RNA", at positions 903 to 1397 of the family's 1533-position model. The record is from RNAcentral.
AAAUGAAUUGACGGGGGAGCGCACAACCGGUGGAGCAUGUGGUUUAAUUCGAUACAAAGCGAAAAACCUUACCCAGGUUUGACAUGUACCUACACGUCCCGUGAAAGCGGGAUUUCUUCGAGAGUGGUACACAGGUGAUGCAUGGCUGUCGUCAGCUCGUGUCGUGAGACGUCCGCUUAAGUGCGGCAACGAGCGCAACCCUUAUCGUUAGUUAUACGUGUCUAGCGAAACAGCCCCUCACCUUGUGGUCUAACAACAGUUGGAACACGAGGUGAGGGGAGGAAGGAGAGGACGAGGUCAAGUCAGCAUGUCCCUUACAUCUGGGGCUACACACAUCCUACAAUGGAGCCGACAACAGGUAGCGACGAGGUAACUCUGAGCCAAUCCCAUAAACGGCCCCUCAGUUCGGAUUGAGGGCUGCAAUUCGCCCUCAUGAAGCCGGAAUCGGUAGUAAUCGCAAAUCAGCAGGUUGCGGUGAAUACGUUCUCGCUCCUUGUACACACCGCCCGU